AGUUCUUCAAUCAUCACCCCGAACGGGAAGUGCUCGAAGGAGGGCAGAGGUCAGCCUGGGAGGAGGGAGGGAGGCCGGCCCCGCCCCAUCGCUCCGGCCCCCAUUCACAGGCGGGGCCAGAAGUGUUGAGGGCAGAACCCUGCAGCGAGAGGGCGAGCGCCUCCGUCCCCUGGGUCGGGGUUCAUCCCUCCGCCCAGUUUACGGAAGUCGGCGAGGCGCCCUGGGCCAGAUCCGCGCAGGUCCUGGGGGGCCAGAGCCUGGGGAACACCACGUCCCUUCUGCUGCGUGUGCAGAGUGAGCGGCGGGCGGCGGGGCUCCAAGGAAGGGCGGUCCCGGGGGCGGCUGUCUCGGAGUGCGGCUGAGGGGCCAGCCCCUCAGAGGGGGCGCCUCUGCCCUGAGCAGCGUCCAGGCCCCUGGUUCUAGGAGCCAAGACAAGCGCUAGGGUGGAGGCGCGCAGAGCACGGAGGAGGGGACCAGCCAGAGAGGUAAUCCCCGAGCCGGGAAGGGCACGAGGACUCACGCCAGACCGCGACCUGGACAACCCGGCCUCGGGAACCAGCCCCGCGCAGGGCGGGACUUCAGGUGGGGAACUCCUGCACUUUGGCCAGUGUUUAAUGCCCGUGGAAGCCUGGCACAGAGAGAUUCACACCCUUCACCCACCAUGGUCCCGGAGAGCCUGAUGGCAAUGCCUGACCUCAGGAACAGGAGACCAACAAAAUACACUUUCUUGGCUUGGUGCUGUGGCUCAUGCCUGUAAUCCCAACACUUUGGGAGUCCAAGGUGGGUGGAUCACAUGAGGUCAGGAGUUGGAGACCAGCCUGAGCAACGUGGUGAAACCCCAUCUCUACUAAAAAUAGAAAAAUUAGCCAGACAUGGUGGUAUGCGCCUACUCAGGAGGCUGAGGCAGGAGAAUCGCUUGAACUUGGGAAGCAGAGGUUGCAGUGAGCCAAGAUCACAACACUGCACUCCAGCCUGGGUGACAGAGCAAGAA
Molecule: long non-coding RNA, 991 nt
Filed under: Homo sapiens (human)
Lineage: Eukaryota; Metazoa; Chordata; Mammalia; Primates; Hominidae
Description: non-protein coding lnc-ZC3H3-2:1
Source: RNAcentral